Molecule: ribosomal RNA, 571 nt
Filed under: Alternaria sp. QRF403
Lineage: Eukaryota; Fungi; Ascomycota; Dothideomycetes; Pleosporales; Pleosporaceae
Description: eukaryotic LSU rRNA
Rfam family: 5.8S ribosomal RNA (bases 197-350)
Source: RNAcentral
UUCCGUAGGGUGACCUGCGGAGGGAUCAUUACACAAAUAUGAAGGCGGGCUGGAACCUCUCGGGGUUACAGCCUUGCUGAAUUAUUCACCCUUGUCUUUUGCGUACUUCUUGUUUCCUUGGUGGGUUCGCCCACCACUAGGACAAACAUAAACCUUUUGUAAUUGCAAUCAGCGUCAGUAACAAAUUAAUAAUUACAACUUUCAACAACGGAUCUCUUGGUUCUGGCAUCGAUGAAGAACGCAGCGAAAUGCGAUAAGUAGUGUGAAUUGCAGAAUUCAGUGAAUCAUCGAAUCUUUGAACGCACAUUGCGCCCUUUGGUAUUCCAAAGGGCAUGCCUGUUCGAGCGUCAUUUGUACCCUCAAGCUUUGCUUGGUGUUGGGCGUCUUGUCUCUAGCUUUGCUGGAGACUCGCCUUAAAGUAAUUGGCAGCCGGCCUACUGGUUUCGGAGCGCAGCACAAGUCGCACUCUCUAUCAGCAAAGGUCUAGCAUCCACUAAGCCUUUUUUUCAACUUUUGACCUCGGAUCAGGUAGGGAUACCCGCUGAACUUAAGCAUAUCAAAAGCGGAGGAA